This 793-nucleotide ribosomal RNA is filed under the name uncultured Methanothermobacter sp. RNAcentral describes it as "bacterial SSU rRNA". It matches the Rfam family "Archaeal small subunit ribosomal RNA", at positions 87 to 876 of the family's 1478-position model. Lineage: Archaea; Methanobacteriati; Methanobacteriota; Methanobacteria; Methanobacteriales; Methanobacteriaceae. The record is from RNAcentral.
GGCUCAGUAACACGUGGACAACCUACCCUUAGGACCGGGAUAACCCCGGGAAACUGGGGACAAUCCCGGAUAGGUGAAGUGGCCUGGAAUGGUACUUCACUGAAAGGCUCUUCGGAGCGCCUAAGGAUGGGUCUGCGGCCGAUUAGGUAGUUGGUAGGGUAACGGCCUACCAAGCCGAUAAUCGGUACGGGUUGUGAGAGCAAGAGCCCGGAGAUGGAACCUGAGACAAGGUUCCAGGCCUUACGGGGCGCAGCAGGCGCGAAACCUCCGCAAUGCACGCAAGUGCGACGGGGGGACCCCAAGUGCCACUCUUAACGGGGUGGCUUUUCAGGAGUGUAAAAAGCUCCUGGAAUAAGGGCUGGGCAAGACCGGUGCCAGCCGCCGCGGUAACACCGGCAGCUCGAGUGGUAGCCGCGUUUAUUGGGCCUAAAGCGUCCGUAGCCGGUCCGAUAAGUCUCUGGUGAAAGCCCACAGCUCAACUGUGGGAAUCGCUGGAGAUACUAUCGGACUUGAGGCCGGGAGAGGCUGGAGGUACUCCCAGGGUAGGGGUGAAAUCCUAUAAUCCUGGGAGGACCACCUGUGGCGAAGGCGUCCAGCUGGAACGGACCUGACGGUGAGGGACGAAAGCCAGGGGCGCGAACCGGAUUAGAUACCCGGGUAGUCCUGGCCGUAAACGAUGCGGACUUGGUGUUGGGAUGGCUUUGAGCUGUCCCAGUGCCGAAGGGAAGCUGUUAAGUCCGCCGCCUGGGAAGUACGGCCGCAAGGCUGAAACUUAAAGGAAUUGGCGGGGGAG